RNAcentral lists this ribosomal RNA (253 nucleotides) under uncultured bacterium. RNAcentral describes it as "partial 16S ribosomal RNA". It matches the Rfam family "Bacterial small subunit ribosomal RNA", at positions 524 to 776 of the family's 1533-position model. The record is from RNAcentral.
UACGUAGGGGGCUAGCGUUGUCCGGAAUCAUUGGGCGUAAAGCGCGUGUAGGCGGUCCGGUAAGUCCGCUGUGAAAGUCGAGGGCUCAACCCUCGAAUGCCGGUGGAUACUGCAGGGCUAGAGUCCGGAAGAGGCGAGUGGAAUUCCUGGUGUAGCGGUGAAAUGCGCAGAUAUCAGGAGGAACACCGAUGGCGAAGGCGGAUCUCUGGGCCAUUACUGACGCUGAGGAGCGAAAGCGUGGGGAGCGAACAGG